This 430-nucleotide ribosomal RNA is filed under the name Verrucomicrobiota bacterium. Its description in RNAcentral is "Verrucomicrobia bacterium partial 16S ribosomal RNA". It matches the Rfam family "Bacterial small subunit ribosomal RNA", at positions 355 to 776 of the family's 1533-position model. The record is from RNAcentral. Lineage: Bacteria; Pseudomonadati; Verrucomicrobiota.
UGGGGAAUAUUGCACAAUGGGCGCAAGCCUGAUGCAGCAACGCCGCGUGAACGAUGAAGGUCUUCGGAUCGUAAAGCUCUGUUGUUAAGGAAGAACGAGUGUGAGAAUGGAAAGUUCAUGCUGUGACGGUAUCUUACCAGAAAGCCACGGCUAACUACGUGCCAGCAGCCGCGGUAAUACGUAGGUGGCAAGCGUUGUCCGGAUUUAUUGGGCGUAAAGGGGGCGCAGGCUGCUUCUUAAGUCUGAUGUGAAAGCCCACGGCUUAACCGUGGAAGUGCAUUGGAAACUGGGAAGCUUGAGUACAGAAGAGGAAAGUGGAACUCCAUGUGUAGCGAUGGAAUGCGUGGAUAUAUGGAAGAACACCAGUGGCGAAAGCGACUUUCUGGUCUGUCACUGACGCUGAGGCCCGAAAGCUUGGGUAGCAAACAGG